CGAUAACGAACGAGACCUUAACCUGCUAAAUAGCCAGGCCCGCUUCGGCGGGUCGCCGGCUUCUUAGAGGGACUAUCGGCUCAAGCCGAUGGAAGUUUGAGGCAAUAACAGGUCUGUGAUGCCCUUAGAUGUUCUGGGCCGCACGCGCGCUACACUGGCAGAGCCAACGAGUUCAUCACCUUGGCCGGAAGGUCUGGGUAAUCUUGUUAAACUCUGCCGUGCUGGGGAUAGGGCAUUGCAAUUAUUGCCCUUCAACGAGGAAUGCCUAGUAAGCGCAUGUCAUCAGCAUGCGUUGAUUACGUCCCUGCCCUUUGUACACACCGCCCGUCGCUACUACCGAUUGAAUGG
This 348-nucleotide ribosomal RNA is filed under the name Cetradonia linearis. RNAcentral describes it as "SSU rRNA". It matches the Rfam family "Eukaryotic small subunit ribosomal RNA", at positions 1326 to 1696 of the family's 1831-position model. The record is from RNAcentral. Lineage: Eukaryota; Fungi; Ascomycota; Lecanoromycetes; Lecanorales; Cladoniaceae.